Nerophis ophidion (straightnose pipefish) is the source of this 892-nucleotide long non-coding RNA. RefSeq lists it as uncharacterized. Lineage: Eukaryota; Metazoa; Chordata; Actinopteri; Syngnathiformes; Syngnathidae. The record is from RefSeq and is a predicted model, not a curated record. The transcript is spliced from 3 exons.
GAGCGAGAGGGACGUUGCUGCAAGUAUGCUUUUGACGCUUUAAUUAUUAACUAAGCUUUUAACUGAAAUGUAAUAAUGUCGAACUGCAGGAGACAAACUACUGAAAACGUGGGUCGUCGUGCUAACUGUGAGUUAAAUGCGGAAUUGGACCUGUUGGAUGGCGAGCUAGAGCCUGAAGCUUUUAUGCCUGGAACCGAACCAACAGAACUGAAUCCACCCAAGCGAGCCCCGGGCGGGAACAAACGGUACUUACAGGGGACUUCUUGUCGAUGGGCUUGAUGAUGAACUUCUUAUCGUUGAAAGAAAUGUUCCUGAUUUCGCUCCAGGGGAAUCCGAUCUUAGGGGUCAUCCUGAAAAAAGUGAACAAAUCAAUUGGUAAGGUGAGAUCUUUGCUUGUAGAACCAAAUGCAAGAGUUCAACGGCCUCCCCCAACAAACGGCGGAGGGGGUGAACGACCGAAAGUUGCGGCGGGAUGACGGGUCAACGCUCGCCAAACAAAUGUUUUGUUCCCACCUGUCCUCCUUCUCGUAGAUGUUGAGGCCCAGGGCGUCCACGCCCAACCACAGGUCGGUGUUCUUCUUGUUCUUGAUGUCAAAGUAGUUGAUGCCGUACAUCUCCAAGUCCUGGGCGAUCUUCAGGUACUCGAUCAUGGCCUCCUCCCUGCGGGGGGAGGGGGGGAAGUCACGUCAAAAUGAUUUAAGGGUGGACUUUUGGGAGCGGUUUCGGGUGAACCUGAGUGUUUUAGGAACCGGCGAAGUGGAGAUUUGUGUUUAACACAGGUGUAGAGGGAAUGUGCGUACUGUUUCCGACUGUCUGUGAGGCCCUGAAUGUGUCAUGACGAAGGCAAAGGUGACCGGUGGGCUCCAGUUUAAAUUUGGACGUUACUGGUAAA